RNAcentral lists this long non-coding RNA (229 nucleotides) under Lathyrus oleraceus (garden pea). RNAcentral describes it as "Pisum sativum (pea) long non-coding RNA (PSAT_LNC005463)". The record is from RNAcentral. Lineage: Eukaryota; Viridiplantae; Streptophyta; Magnoliopsida; Fabales; Fabaceae.
GGAGAGAUGAAAUGAAUAGGGGGAGAUGAAAUGAAAGAGAACCCAAAUUGAUCAGGGGAUGCAUCUCACUUGAUCAAUACCAUUCAUUCAUCUUGAGGGAUGAAGUUUAACUUCAUCAACCCUCUAAAUCCAAUGGUAUUUACCAAGUCAUGGUCCAAUUUAACUAAGAUCAAGGCCAAACAGAAGUUAGGUCAACACAAAGUCAACACAAAAACUCAACAAAGCAAUA